GACAGAGGGUGCAAACGUUGUUCGGAAUUACUGGGCGUAAAGCGUGUGUAGGCUGCUACAUAAGUCGGAUGUGAAAGCCCCGGGCUCAACCCGGGAAGUGCACUCGAUACUGCGUAGCUUGAGUCUCGGAGAGGUUGGUGGAAUUCUCGGUGUAGAGGUGAAAUGCGCAGAUAUCGGGAGGAACACCAAUUGCGAAGGCAGCUCGCUGGGACGUAACUGACGCUGAGACGCGAAAGCGUGGGGAGCAAACAGG
Molecule: ribosomal RNA, 253 nt
Filed under: uncultured bacterium
Lineage: Bacteria
Description: partial 16S ribosomal RNA
Rfam family: Bacterial small subunit ribosomal RNA
Source: RNAcentral